Non-coding RNA from Felis catus (domestic cat), 85 nucleotides. The record is from Rfam. NCBI's taxonomy places the organism in Eukaryota, Metazoa, Chordata, Mammalia, Carnivora, Felidae.
GUCUGGGUGACUCAGUAGAUUAAGUGUCUGACUUCGGCUCAGGUCAUGAUCUCACAGAUUGUGGGUUCAAGCCCCACAUCAGGCU